Long non-coding RNA from Saccostrea echinata, 616 nucleotides. RefSeq lists it as uncharacterized. NCBI's taxonomy places the organism in Eukaryota, Metazoa, Mollusca, Bivalvia, Ostreida, Ostreidae. The transcript is spliced from 4 exons. The record is from RefSeq and is a predicted model, not a curated record.
UCACUUCUCAAGGAUUACAAGGUUGGCAAAGCUUACGGAUAUUUCACAAGUGGCUGGCUCCAAGAAGUUUUUUUAUUACCAUUUGACAGGUGAAAAGAAAUGCAUCUUAAGAGCUAAGUGCACCCCCUCCCAAAGGAUUCGAGAUGAUUUACAUGACUGCUGGACAGCAAUAUCAGAAGAGGAUGGUGAAGUUUUGGGAGCCUACUGCACAUGUACUGCAGGACUGGGGCAAAUAUGCAACCAUGUUGCUGCCUUGCUUUUUUUGCAUUGAGGCUGCUAAUCGGUAUGGGCAAACGUCAUGUACCAUGGCCAAAUGUGGUUUGGUGCAGCCAAAGGCAAUGAAGGAUUUGGAGCCCCAGAAAAUUUCAGCCUUAUGUACCAGCCUGAAGAAAUCUUCUCAAGCUAAAAAUGCUAAAAGCAGACCACUGGUGGCUACUGAAAAAAAAGUACAACCCUCUUGAAAUUGAGGAAUCCAACAACACGGUACUUGACAGUUUUACCAUUGCACUCUGUGGAGUUGUCCCCGAGGCCUGUUUAUUCAAAGGUUUACCUCAGACUGGUGAUGUAUUAACUUCAGCUCUGGGAACAGAGGGAACGCUAAGAACAAGUAAUCAAG